Molecule: ribosomal RNA, 386 nt
Filed under: uncultured bacterium
Lineage: Bacteria
Description: bacterial SSU rRNA
Rfam family: Bacterial small subunit ribosomal RNA
Source: RNAcentral
AGCGAACGUUUGCGGCGGGCCUAACACAUGCAAGUCGAACGGGCUACUUCGGUAGUCAGUGGCGCACGGGUGCGUAACACGUGGGUAAUCAACCCUCUAGACUGGGAUAACCCGGGGAAACUCGAGCUAAUACCAGAUGUGUCGCCCUGAUCCUCGGAUCGGGUCGAGAAAAGGUCGCAAGGCCUGUUAGAGGACGAGCCCGCGGCCCAUCAGCUUGUUGGUGAGGUAAUGGCUCACCAAGGCUAAGACGGGUAGCUGGUCUGAGAGGAUGGCCAGCCACACUGGAACUGAGACACGGUCCAGACUCCUACGGGAGGCAGCAGUGGGGAAUUUUGGACAAUGGGCGCAAGCCUGAUCCAGCCAUGCCGCGUGAGUGAAGAAGGCCU